UUAAGCGACCAAGCGUACACGGUGGAUGCCCUGGCAGUCAGAGGCGAUGAAGGACGUGCUAAUCUGCGAUAAGCGCCGGUAAGGUGAUAUGAACCGUUAUAACCGGCGAUUUCCGAAUGGGGAAACCCAGUGUGAUUUGUCACACUAUCAUUAACUGAAUCCAUAGGUUAAUGAGGCGAACCGGGGGAACUGAAACAUCUAAGUACCCCGAGGAAAAGAAAUCAACCGAGAUUCCCCCAGUAGCGGCGAGCGAACGGGGAGGAGCCCAGAGCCUGAAUCAGCAUGUGUGUUAGUGGAAGCGUCUGGAAAGGCGCGCGAUACAGGGUGACAGCCCCGUACACAAAAGCGCAUAUGCUGUGAGCUCGAUGAGUAGGGCGGGACACGUGGUAUCCUGUCUGAAUAUGGGGGGACCAUCCUCCAAGGCUAAAUACUCCUGACUGACCGAUAGUGAACCAGUACCGUGAGGGAAAGGCGAAAAGAACCCCGGCGAGGGGAGUGAAACAGAACCUGAAACCGUGUACGUACAAGCAGUGGGAGCACAGGUUUACCUGUGUGACUGCGUACCUUUUGUAUAAUGGGUCAGCGACUUAUAUUCUGUAGCAAGGUUAACCGCAUAGGGGAGCCGAAGGGAAACCGAGUCUUAAUUGGGCGUUAAGUUGCAGGGUAUAGACCCGAAACCCGGUGAUCUAGCCAUGGGCAGGUUGAAGGUUGGGUAACACUAACUGGAGGACCGAACCGACUAAUGUUGAAAAAUUAGCGGAUGACCUGUGGCUGGGGGUGAAAGGCCAAUCAAACCGGGAGAUAGCUGGUUCUCCCCGAAAGCUAUUUAGGUAGCGCCUCGUGAACUCAUCUCCGGGGGUAGAGCACUGUUUCGGCUAGGGGGCCAUCCCGGCUUACCAACCCGAUGCAAACUGCGAAUACCGGAGAAUGUUAUCACGGGAGACACACGGCGGGUGCUAACGUCCGUCGUGAAGAGGGAAACAACCCAGACCGCCAGCUAAGGUCCCAAAGUCAUGGUUAAGUGGGAAACGAUGUGGGAAGGCCCAGACAGCCAGGAUGUUGGCUUAGAAGCAGCCAUCAUUUAAAGAAAGCGUAAUAGCUCACUGGUCGAGUCGGCCUGCGCGGAAGAUGUAACGGGGCUAAACCAUGCACCGAAGCUGCGGCAGCGAACGUAUCACUUAAAACGAUUCAGAAGCUUACGAUUGACGGAGCGAAGCGACGUCAAAGCGUAUACAAAGUCGAGUCGGUUUAAGGAUACGUUCGUUGGGUAGGGGAGCGUUCUGUAAGCCUGUGAAGGUGGCCUGUGAGGGUUGCUGGAGGUAUCAGAAGUGCGAAUGCUGACAUAAGUAACGAUAAAGCGGGUGAAAAGCCCGCUCGCCGGAAGACCAAGGGUUCCUGUCCAACGUUAAUCGGGGCAGGGUGAGUCGACCCCUAAGGCGAGGCCGAAAGGCGUAGUCGAUGGGAAACGGGUUAAUAUUCCCGUACUUGGUGUUACUGCGAAGGGGGGACGGAGAAGGCUAUGUUGGCCGGGCGACGGUUGUCCCGGUUUAAGCGUGUAGGUGUGUGUUCCAGGUAAAUCCGGUUCACUUUAACACUGAGGCGUGACGACGAGGCACCACGGUGCUGAAGCAACAAAUGCCCUGCUUCCAGGAAAAGCCUCUAAGCAUCAGGUAACAUCAAAUCGUACCCCAAACCGACACAGGUGGUCAGGUAGAGAAUACCAAGGCGCUUGAGAGAACUCGGGUGAAGGAACUAGGCAAAAUGGUGCCGUAACUUCGGGAGAAGGCACGCUGACACGUAGGUGAAGUGGUUUACCCAUGGAGCUGAAGUCAGUCGAAGAUACCAGCUGGCUGCAACUGUUUAUUAAAAACACAGCACUGUGCAAACACGAAAGUGGACGUAUACGGUGUGACGCCUGCCCGGUGCCGGAAGGUUAAUUGAUGGGGUCAGCGCAAGCGAAGCUCCUGAUCGAAGCCCCGGUAAACGGCGGCCGUAACUAUAACGGUCCUAAGGUAGCGAAAUUCCUUGUCGGGUAAGUUCCGACCUGCACGAAUGGCGUAAUGAUGGCCAGGCUGUCUCCACCCGAGACUCAGUGAAAUUGAACUCGCUGUGAAGAUGCAGUGUACCCGCGGCAAGACGGAAAGACCCCGUGAACCUUUACUAUAGCUUGACACUGAACAUUGAGCCUUGAUGUGUAGGAUAGGUGGGAGGCUUUGAAGCGUGGACGCCAGUCUGCGUGGAGCCGGCCUUGAAAUACCACCCUUUAAUGUUUGAUGUUCUAACGUGGACCCGUUACCCGGGUUGCGGACAGUGUCUGGUGGGUAGUUUGACUGGGGCGGUCUCCUCCUAAAGAGUAACGGAGGAGCACGAAGGUUGGCUAAUCCUGGUCGGACAUCAGGAGGUUAGUGCAAUGGCAUAAGCCAGCUUGACUGCGAGCGUGACGGCGCGAGCAGGUGCGAAAGCAGGUCAUAGUGAUCCGGUGGUUCUGAAUGGAAGGGCCAUCGCUCAACGGAUAAAAGGUACUCCGGGGAUAACAGGCUGAUACCGCCCAAGAGUUCAUAUCGACGGCGGUGUUUGGCACCUCGAUGUCGGCUCAUCACAUCCUGGGGCUGAAGUAGGUCCCAAGGGUAUGGCUGUUCGCCAUUUAAAGUGGUACGCGAGCUGGGUUUAGAACGUCGUGAGACAGUUCGGUCCCUAUCUGCCGUGGGCGCUGGAGAACUGAGGGGGGCUGCUCCUAGUACGAGAGGACCGGAGUGGACGCAUCACUGGUGUUCGGGUUGUCAUGCCAAUGGCACUGCCCGGUAGCUAAAUGCGGAAGAGAUAAGUGCUGAAAGCAUCUAAGCACGAAACUUGCCCCGAGAUGAGUUCUCCCUGAGACUUUAAGUCUCCUGAAGGAACGUUGAAGACGACGACGUUGAUAGGCCGGGUGUGUAAGCGCAGCGAUGCGUUGAGCUAACCGGUACUAAUGAACCGUGAGGCUUAACCUU
RNAcentral lists this ribosomal RNA (2987 nucleotides) under Salmonella enterica. RNAcentral's name for it is "bacterial LSU rRNA". It matches the Rfam family "Bacterial large subunit ribosomal RNA". Lineage: Bacteria; Pseudomonadati; Pseudomonadota; Gammaproteobacteria; Enterobacterales; Enterobacteriaceae. The record is from RNAcentral.